GUCUUUUAUUUUAUAUUUAAAGUCUCGCCUGCCCACUGAAAAUUUUAAAUGGCCGCGGUAUUUUGACCGUGCUAAGGUAGCAUAAUCAUUAGUUUUUUAAUUGAAAGCUGGAAUGAAGGGUUGGAUGAAAAAAUAAUUGUCUCUAUUUAAUUAAUAAGAAUUUUAUUUUUAAGUUAAAAAGCUUAAAUAAUAUUGAAAGACGAGAAGACCCUAUAGAGUUUUAUAUAUUUUAAUUUAAUUAUUUUUUGUAUUUAUAUUAUUUAUUUUAAAAUGUAUUUGAUUGGGGUGAUUAAAAAAUUUAAUAAACUUUUUUAUAUUAAAAUAUAAAUAAAUAAUUUGUUGAUCCAUUAUUUUUGAUUAUAAGAUUAAAUUACCUUAGGGAUAACAGCGUAAUUUUACUGGAGAGUUCAAAUUAAGAGUAAAGAUUGCGACCUCGAUGUUGGAUUAAAAUUUAUAAUUGGUGCAGAAGCUAUAUUAUUAAGUCUUUUCCACU
RNAcentral lists this ribosomal RNA (493 nucleotides) under Acalymma innubum. Its description in RNAcentral is "partial 16S ribosomal RNA". The record is from RNAcentral. Lineage: Eukaryota; Metazoa; Arthropoda; Insecta; Coleoptera; Chrysomelidae.